AUCGGCGACGAGUUUGAUCAUGGCUACAGGACGAACGGCUGGCGGCGUGCUUAACACAUGCAAGUCGAACGAUGAAGUUCGGACGGAGGCUUCGGCCAACUGAAGAACGGAUUAGUGGCGGACGGGUGAGUAACGCGUGAGUAACCUGCCUUUCAGAGGGGAAUAACAUUUGGAAACGAAUGGUAAUACCGCAUAAUGUCACGGAACCGCAUGGUUCUGUGACCAAAGGAGCAAUCCGCUGAAAGAUGGACUCGCGUCCGAUUAGCUAGUUGGAGAGGUAACGGCUCCCCAAGGCGACGAUCGGUAGCCGGACUGAGAGGUUGAACGGCCACAUUGGGACUGAGACACGGCCCAGACUCCUACGGGAGGCAGCAGUGGGGGAUAUUGCGCAAUGGGGGCAACCCUGACGCAGCAACGCCGCGUGAAUGAAGAAGGUUUCCGGAUCGUAAAGUUCUUUAAGUGUGGAAGAAGAUGACGGUACACACAGAAUAAGCCACGGCUAACUACGUG
RNAcentral lists this ribosomal RNA (510 nucleotides) under uncultured bacterium. RNAcentral's name for it is "bacterial SSU rRNA". It matches the Rfam family "Bacterial small subunit ribosomal RNA", at positions 1 to 507 of the family's 1533-position model. The record is from RNAcentral.